This 83-nucleotide transfer RNA is filed under the name Aeromonas jandaei. RNAcentral describes it as "tRNA-His(gtg)". Lineage: Bacteria; Pseudomonadati; Pseudomonadota; Gammaproteobacteria; Aeromonadales; Aeromonadaceae. The record is from RNAcentral.
GAUCAGCUGGCGCAGCUUCUGGCGAUCCAGUUCGUGGAACUGGGACAUCAGCUCGUUGAGGGCGCUGUCUCCCUCGCUGAUCA